This 1172-nucleotide ribosomal RNA is filed under the name uncultured Bacteroides sp. RNAcentral describes it as "bacterial SSU rRNA". It matches the Rfam family "Bacterial small subunit ribosomal RNA", at positions 10 to 1177 of the family's 1533-position model. Lineage: Bacteria; Pseudomonadati; Bacteroidota; Bacteroidia; Bacteroidales; Bacteroidaceae. The record is from RNAcentral.
AGUUUGAUCCUGGCUCAGGAUGAACGCUAGCUACAGGCUUAACACAUGCAAGUCGAGGGGCAGCAUUUCAGUUUGCUUGCAAACUGGAGAUGGCGACCGGCGCACGGGUGAGUAACACGUAUCCAACCUGCCGAUAACUCGGGGAUAGCCUUUCGAAAGAAAGAUUAAUACCCGAUGGUAUAAUCAGACCGCAUGGUCUUGUUAUUAAAGAAUUUCGGUUAUCGAUGGGGAUGCGUUCCAUUAGGCAGUUGGUGAGGUAACGGCUCACCAAACCUUCGAUGGAUAGGGGUUCUGAGAGGAAGGUCCCCCACAUUGGAACUGAGACACGGUCCAAAUCCUACGGGAGGCAGCAGUGAGGAAUAUUGGUCAAUGGGCGCAGGCCUGAACCAGCCAAGUAGCGUGAAGGAUGACUGCCCUAUGGGUUGUAAACUUCUUUUAUAUGGGAAUAAAGUUUUCCACGUGUGGAAUUUUGUAUGUACCAUAUGAAUAAGGAUCGGCUAACUCCGUGCCAGCAGCCGCGGUAAUACGGAGGAUCCGAGCGUUAUCCGGAUUUAUUGGGUUUAAAGGGAGCGUAGGUGGACAGUUAAGUCAGUUGUGAAAGUUUGCGGCUCAACCGUAAAAUUGCAGUUGAUACUGGCUGUCUUGAGUACAGUAGAGGUGGGCGGAAUUCGUGGUGUAGCGGUGAAAUGCUUAGAUAUCACGAAGAACUCCGAUUGCGAAGGCAGCUCACUGGACUGCAACUGACACUGAUGCUCGAAAGUGUGGGUAUCAAACAGGAUUAGAUACCCUGGUAGUCCACACAGUAAACGAUGAAUACUCGCUGUUUGCGAUAUACAGUAAGCGGCCAAGCGAAAGCAUUAAGUAUUCCACCUGGGGAGUACGCCGGCAACGGUGAAACUCAAAGGAAUUGACGGGGGCCCGCACAAGCGGAGGAACAUGUGGUUUAAUUCGAUGAUACGCGAGGAACCUUACCCGGGCUUAAAUUGCAUUUGAAUAAUCUGGAAACAGGUUAGCCGCAAGGCAAAUGUGAAGGUGCUGCAUGGUUGUCGUCAGCUCGUGCCGUGAGGUGUCGGCUUAAGUGCCAUAACGAGCGCAACCCUUAUCUUUAGUUACUAACAGGUCAUGCUGAGGACUCUAGAGAGACUGNCGUCGUAAGAUGUGAGGAAGGUGGA